This 379-nucleotide unclassified non-coding RNA is filed under the name Melitaea cinxia (Glanville fritillary). RNAcentral's name for it is "misc RNA ENSMCXG00005016763.1". The record is from RNAcentral. Lineage: Eukaryota; Metazoa; Arthropoda; Insecta; Lepidoptera; Nymphalidae.
UUUUUUUUUUUUUUUAUGUAUGUUACAUCAGAACUUUUGCCCGUGUGGACCGAUUUCGACAAAUUUUCUUUUAAUCGAAAGGUGGUGUGUGCCAAUUGGUCCCAUUUAAAUUUAUUUGAAAUCUAACAACUACUUUUCGAGUUAUAUCUAAUAAUGCGUUUUUACUUGACGCUUUUUUCGUCGACCUACGAUGUAUUAUACCGCAUAACUUUCUACUGGAUGUACCGAUUUUGAUAAUUCUUUUUGUGUUAAAAAGGGGAUAUCCAUAGUUUAGUACCAUGAUAAGGAAACCAGGAUCUGAUGAUGCGAUCCCAGAGAAAUCGAGGGAAACUCUCGAAAAUCCGCAAUAACUUUUUACUGGGUGUACCGAUUUUGAUAA